This 497-nucleotide ribosomal RNA is filed under the name uncultured bacterium. Its description in RNAcentral is "partial 16S ribosomal RNA". It matches the Rfam family "Bacterial small subunit ribosomal RNA", at positions 28 to 507 of the family's 1533-position model. The record is from RNAcentral.
GAUGAACGCUGGCGGCGUGCCUAAUACAUGCAAGUCGAGCGAACAGACGAGGAGCUUGCUCCUCUGACGUUAGCGGCGGACGGGUGAGUAACACGUGGAUAACCUACCUAUAAGACUGGGAUAACUUCGGGAAACCGGAGCUAAUACCGGAUAAUAUAUUGAACCGCAUGGUUCAAUAGUGAAAGACGGUUUUGCUGUCACUUAUAGAUGGAUCCGCGCCGCAUUAGCUAGUUGGUAAGGUAACGGCUUACCAAGGCAACGAUGCGUAGCCGACCUGAGAGGGUGAUCGGCCACCCUGGAACUGAGACACGGGCCAGGAUCCUAAGGGGAGCAACAGUAGGGGAAUUUCCGCAAUGGGCGGAAGCCUGACGGAGCAACGCCGCGUGAGGGAAAAAGGUCUUCGGAUCGUAAAACUCUGUUAUUAGGGAAAAACAAAUGUGGAAGUAACUAUGCACGUCUUGACGGUUCCUGAUCAGGAAGCCACGGCUAACUACGUG